GACGAACGCUGGCGGCGUGCUUAACACAUGCAAGUCGAACGGAAAGGCCCUGCUUUUGUGGGGUGCUCAAGUGGCGAACGGGUGAGUAACACGUGAGUAACCUGCCCUUGACUUUGGGAUAACUUCAGGAAACUGGGGCUAAUACCGGAUAGGAGCUCCUGCUGCAUGGUGGGGGUUGGAAAGUUUCGGCGGUUGGGGAUGGACUCGCGGCUUAUCAGCUUGUUGGUGGGGUAGUGGCUUACCAAGGCUUUGACGGGUAGCCGGCCGGAGAGGGUGACCGGCCACAUUGGGACUGCGAUACGGCCCAGACUCCUACGGGAGGCAGCAGUGGGGAAUAUUGCACAAUGGGCGGAAGCCUGAUGCAGCAACGCCGCGUGCGGGAUGACGGCCUUCGGGUUGUAAACCGCUUGCGCCUGUGACGAAGCGUGAGUGACGGUAAUGGGUAAAGAAGCACCGGCUAACUACGUG
Molecule: ribosomal RNA, 468 nt
Filed under: uncultured bacterium
Lineage: Bacteria
Description: partial 16S ribosomal RNA
Rfam family: Bacterial small subunit ribosomal RNA
Source: RNAcentral